This 513-nucleotide ribosomal RNA is filed under the name uncultured bacterium. RNAcentral describes it as "partial 16S ribosomal RNA". It matches the Rfam family "Bacterial small subunit ribosomal RNA", at positions 28 to 507 of the family's 1533-position model. The record is from RNAcentral.
GACGAACGCUGGCGGCGUGCUUAACACAUGCAAGUCGAACGAAAAGAGGGAAAGAGCUUGCUCUUUCCGGAAUUGAGUGGCAAACGGGUGAGUAACACGUAAACAACCUGCCUUCAGGAUGGGGACAACAGACGGAAACGACUGCUAAUACCGAAUAAGUUCCAAGAGCCGCAUGGCCCAUGGAAGAAAAGGUGGCCUCUACCUGUAAGCUAUCGCCUGAAGAGGGGUUUGCGUCUGAUUAGCUGGUUGGAGGGGUAACGGCCCACCAAGGCGACGAUCAGUAGCCGGUCUGAGAGGAUGAACGGCCACACUGGAACUGAGACACGGUCCAGACUCCUACGGGAGGCAGCAGUGGGGAAUCUGCCGCAAUGGGCGAAAGCCUGACGGAGCAACGCCGCGUGAGUGAUGACGGCCUUCGGGUUGUAAAACUCUGUGAUCCGGGACGAAAAGGCAGAGUGCGAAGAACAAACUGCAUUGACGGUACCGGAAAAGCAAGCCACGGCUAACUACGUG